This 455-nucleotide ribosomal RNA is filed under the name uncultured organism. Its description in RNAcentral is "partial 16S ribosomal RNA". It matches the Rfam family "Bacterial small subunit ribosomal RNA", at positions 330 to 801 of the family's 1533-position model. The record is from RNAcentral.
CGUACACUCCUGCGGGAGGCAGCAGUGGGGAAUAUUGGACAAUGGGCGCAAGCCUGAUCCAGCCAUGCCGCGUGAGUGAUGAAGGCCCUAGGGUUGUAAAGCUCUUUCACCGGUGAAGAUAAUGACGGUAACCGGAGAAGAAGCCCCGGCUAACUUCGUGCCAGCAGCCGCGGUAAUACGAAGGGGGCUAGCGUUGUUCGGAUUUACUGGGCGUAAAGCGCACGUAGGCGGACUAUUAAGUCAGGGGUGAAAUCCCGGGGCUCAACCCCGGAACUGCCUUUGAUACUGGUAGUCUUGAGUUCGAGAGAGGUGAGUGGAAUUCCGAGUGUAGAGGUGAAAUUCGUAGAUAUUCGGAGGAACACCAGUGGCGAAGGCGGCUCACUGGCUCGAUACUGACGCUGAGGUGCGAAAGCGUGGGGAGCAAACAGGAUUAGAUACCCGAGUAGUCCCAUGAU